RNAcentral lists this ribosomal RNA (492 nucleotides) under uncultured bacterium. RNAcentral describes it as "partial 16S ribosomal RNA". It matches the Rfam family "Bacterial small subunit ribosomal RNA", at positions 29 to 507 of the family's 1533-position model. The record is from RNAcentral.
AGUGAACGCUGGCGGUAGGCCUAACACAUGCAAGUCGAACGGCAGCACAGUAAGAGCUUGCUCUUACGGGUGGCGAGUGGCGGACGGGUGAGGAAUACAUCGGAAUCUACUUUUUCGUGGGGGAUAACGUAGGGAAACUUACGCUAAUACCGCAUACGACCUACGGGUGAAAGCAGGGGAUCUUCGGACCUUGCGCGAUUGAAUGAGCCGAUGUCGGAUUAGCUAGUUGGCGGGGUAAAGGCCCACCAAGGCGACGAUCCGUAGCAGGUCUGAGAGGAUGAUCAGCCACACUGGAACUGAGACACGGUCCAGACUCCUACGGGAGGCAGCAGUGGGGAAUCUUGGACAAUGGGCGCAAGCCUGAUCCAGCCAUACCGCGUGGGUGAAGAAGGCCUUCGGGUUGUAAAGCCCUUUUGUUGGGAAAGAAAAGCAGCAGGUUAAUACCCCGCUGUUCUGACGGUACCCAAAGAAUAAGCACCGGCUAACUUCGUG